This 429-nucleotide ribosomal RNA is filed under the name bacterium. Its description in RNAcentral is "partial 16S ribosomal RNA". It matches the Rfam family "Bacterial small subunit ribosomal RNA", at positions 355 to 776 of the family's 1533-position model. The record is from RNAcentral.
UAGGGAAUCUUCGGCAGUGGGGGCAACCCUGACCGAGCAACGCCGCGUGAGUGAAGAAGGUUUUCGGAUCGUAAAGCUCUGUUGUAAGAGAAGAACGUGUGUGAGAGUGGAAAGUUCACACAGUGACGGUAACUUACCAGAAAGGGACGGCUAACUACGUGCCAGCAGCCGCGGUAAUACGUAGGUCCCGAGCGUUGUCCGGAUUUAUUGGGCGUAAAGCGAGCGCAGGCGGUUUAAUAAGUCUGAAGUUAAAGGCAGUGGCUUAACCAUUGUUCGCUUUGGAAACUGUUAAACUUGAGUGCAGAAGGGGAGAGUGGAAUUCCAUGUGUAGCGGUGAAAUGCGUAGAUAUAUGGAGGAACACCGGUGGCGAAAGCGGCUCUCUGGUCUGUAACUGACGCUGAGGCUCGAAAGCGUGGGGAGCAAACAGG